RNAcentral lists this ribosomal RNA (502 nucleotides) under uncultured bacterium. RNAcentral describes it as "bacterial SSU rRNA". It matches the Rfam family "Bacterial small subunit ribosomal RNA", at positions 29 to 526 of the family's 1533-position model. The record is from RNAcentral.
AGCGAACGUUUGCGGCGGGCUUAACACAUGCAAGUCGAACGAGAAUCCCUUCGGGGAGGAAAGUGGCGCACGGGUGCGUAACACGUGGAUAACCAACCCAUUGGUUUGGGACAACACCGGGAAACUGGUGCUAAUACCAGAUGUGUCGCAGCUGUCUUCAGGCGGUUGCGAGAAAGGCCCGCAAGGGUCGCCAACGGACGGGUCCGCGUCCCAUCAGCUAGUUGGUGAGGUAAUGGCUCACCAAGGCAAAGACGGGUAGCUAGUCUGAGAGGAUGAUCAGCCACACUGGAACUGAGACACGGUCCAGACUCCUACGGGAGGCAGCAGUGGGGAAUAUUGCGCAAUGGGCGAAAGCCUGACGCAGCCACGCCGCGUGAGCGAUGAAGGUCUUCGGAUCGUAAAGCUCUGUGGGGGGAGAAGAAGAAAGCCGGUGAAGAGCCGGCCCUGACGGUAUCCCCUUAGCAAGCACCGGCUAACUCCGUGCCAGCAGCCGCGGUAAAGU